Molecule: unclassified non-coding RNA, 189 nt
Filed under: uncultured Trechispora
Lineage: Eukaryota; Fungi; Basidiomycota; Agaricomycetes; Polyporales; Polyporaceae
Description: sequence contains ITS1
Source: RNAcentral
ACGUGUUCGUUCGGCCGUCGGGUCGGCCCUGCACCGGCGGAGACGCCGUGCUGCGGGCUCCCGGCGCGCCUUCCAAACCAAACCCCUGUGAACCUUUUGGGAGGGCCGAGCUCCGGCGACGCCGUCCCCUUUACAAACUCUUUGCAUCUCAUAGAAUGACCGCGGACAUUCGUCUGCCUAAACACAUAA